This 72-nucleotide transfer RNA is filed under the name Streptomyces globisporus C-1027. Its description in RNAcentral is "tRNA-Arg". The record is from RNAcentral. Lineage: Bacteria; Bacillati; Actinomycetota; Actinomycetes; Kitasatosporales; Streptomycetaceae.
GACCUGCUGUGCUGCCUGGGCAGCAAGCGGCCUCCGGAGCCGUGUGCGCAGGUUCGAAUCCUGCCGGGGGCA